UCGAGCGGCGGACGGGUGAGUAAUGCCUAGGAAAUUGCCCUGAUGUGGGGGAUAACCAUUGGAAACGAUGGCUAAUACCGCAUAAUGCCUACGGGCCAAAGAGGGGGACCUUCGGGCCUCUCGCGUCAGGAUAUGCCUAGGUGGGAUUAGCUAGUUGGUGAGGUAAGGGCUCACCAAGGCGACGAUCCCUAGCUGGUCUGAGAGGAUGAUCAGCCACACUGGAACUGAGACACGGUCCAGACUCCUACGGGAGGCAGCAGUGGGGAAUAUUGCACAAUGGGCGCAAGCCUGAUGCAGCCAUGCCGCGUGUGUGAAGAAGGCCUUCGGGUUGUAAAGCACUUUCAGUCGUGAGGAAGGUAGUGUAGUUAAUAGCUGCAUUAUUUGACGUUAGCGACAGAAGAAGCACCGGCUAACUCCGUGCCAGCAGCCGCGGUAAUACGGAGGGUGCGAGCGUUAAUCGGAAUUACUGGGCGUAAAGCGCAUGCAGGUGGUUUGUUAAGUCAGAUGUGAAAGCCCGGGGCUCAACCUCGGAAUUGCAUUUGAAACUGGCAGACUAGAGUACUGUAGAGGGGGGUAGAAUUUCAGGUGUAGCGGUGAAAUGCGUAGAGAUCUGAAGGAAUACCGGUGGCGAAGGCGGCCCCCUGGACAGAUACUGACACUCAGAUGCGAAAGCGUGGGGAGCAAACAGGAUUAGAUACCCUGGUAGUCCACGCCGUAAACGAUGUCUACUUGGAGGUUGUGGCCUUGAGCCGUGGCUUUCGGAGCUAACGCGUUAAGUAGACCGCCUGGGGAGUACGGUCGCAAGAUUAAAACUCAAAUGAAUUGACGGGGGCCCGCACAAGCGGUGGAGCAUGUGGUUUAAUUCGAUGCAACGCGAAGAACCUUACCUACUCUUGACAUCCAGAGAACUUUCCAGAGAUGGAUUGGUGCCUUCGGGAACUCUGAGACAGGUGCUGCAUGG
Molecule: ribosomal RNA, 961 nt
Filed under: Vibrio campbellii
Lineage: Bacteria; Pseudomonadati; Pseudomonadota; Gammaproteobacteria; Vibrionales; Vibrionaceae
Description: bacterial SSU rRNA
Rfam family: Bacterial small subunit ribosomal RNA
Source: RNAcentral